Molecule: small nuclear RNA, 120 nt
Organism: Suricata suricatta (meerkat)
Lineage: Eukaryota; Metazoa; Chordata; Mammalia; Carnivora; Herpestidae
Gene: U5
Rfam family: U5 spliceosomal RNA
About the family: U5 RNA is a component of both types of known spliceosome. The precise function of this molecule is unknown, though it is known that the 5' loop is required for splice site selection and p220 binding, and that both the 3' stem-loop and the Sm site are important for Sm protein binding and cap methylation.
Source: Ensembl
ACAUUCUGGUUUCUCUUCAGAUUGAAUAAAUCUUUCUCCUUUUACCAAAGAUUUCCAUGGAGAGAAACAAUUCUGAGUAUUUAACACAAAAUAAGUCAGGGGGAAAAUGACAGAUACCCU